UACCUGCAGCUCAAGUGGUGGCCGCUAUUAUUGGGCCUAAAACGUCCGUAGCCGGUUUAGUAAAUGCCUGGGUAAAUCGCGCCGCUCAACGGUACGAAUUCUGGGUAGACUGCUAAGCUUGAGACCGGGAGAGGCUAGAGGUACUCCUGGGGUAGAGGUGAAAUUCUGUAAUCCUAGGGGGACCACCAGUGGCGAAGGCGUCUAGCUAGAACGGGUCUGACGGUGAGGGACGAAGCCCUGGGGCGCAAACCGGAUUAGAUACCCGGGUAGUCCAGGGUGUAAACGCUGCUUGCUUGAUGUUGGUUGGGCUCCGAGCCCAAUCAGUGUCGGAGAGAAGUUGUUAAGCAAGCUGCCUGGGAAGUACGAUCGCAAGAUUGAAACUUAAAGGAAUUGGCGGGGAGCACAGCAACGGGUGGAGCGUGCGGUUU
This 428-nucleotide ribosomal RNA is filed under the name uncultured archaeon. RNAcentral describes it as "bacterial SSU rRNA". It matches the Rfam family "Archaeal small subunit ribosomal RNA", at positions 474 to 903 of the family's 1478-position model. The record is from RNAcentral.